This 79-nucleotide ribosomal RNA is filed under the name Agrococcus sediminis. Lineage: Bacteria; Bacillati; Actinomycetota; Actinomycetes; Micrococcales; Microbacteriaceae. The record is from RNAcentral.
UCCGAACCCGGAAGCUAAGGCUCUCAGCGCCGAUGGUACUGCAGGGGGGACCCUGUGGGAGAGUAGGACACCGCCGGAC